GAUGAAGAACGUAGCGAAAUGCGAUAAGUAAUGUGAAUUGCAGAAUUCAGUGAAUCAUCGAAUCUUUGAACGCACAUUGCGCCCGCCAGUAUUCUGGCGGGCAUGCCUGUCCGAGCGUCAUUUCAACCAUCAAGCCCCAGGCUUGUGUUGGGGACCUGCGGCUGCCGCAGGCCCUGAAAACCAGUGGCGGGCUCGCUAGUCACACCGAGCGUAGUAGCAUACACAUCGCUCAGGGCGUGCUGCGGGUUCCGGCCGUUAAACCCCUUUUUUACCCAAGGUUGACCUCGGAUCAGGUAGGAAGACCCGCUGAACUUAAGCAUAUCAAUAAGCGGAGGA
Molecule: unclassified non-coding RNA, 336 nt
Filed under: soil metagenome
Description: partial contains 5.8S ribosomal RNA, internal transcribed spacer 2, and large subunit ribosomal RNA
Rfam family: 5.8S ribosomal RNA (bases 1-120)
Source: RNAcentral